UACGUAGGGUGCGAGCGUUAAUCGGAAUUACUGGGCGUAAAGCGUGCGCAGGCGGUUUUGUAAGCCAGAUGUGAAAGCCCCGGGCUUAACCUGGGAAUGGCAUUUGGGACUGCAAGGCUUGAGUGCGGCAGAGGAGACUGGAAUUCCUGGUGUAGCAGUGAAAUGCGUAGAUAUCGAGAGGAACACCAGUGGCGAAGGCGAGUCCCUGGACAGGUCCUGACGCUGAGGCACGAAAGCUAGGGGAGCAAACAGG
This 253-nucleotide ribosomal RNA is filed under the name uncultured bacterium. RNAcentral's name for it is "partial 16S ribosomal RNA". It matches the Rfam family "Bacterial small subunit ribosomal RNA", at positions 524 to 776 of the family's 1533-position model. The record is from RNAcentral.